RNAcentral lists this long non-coding RNA (588 nucleotides) under Anas platyrhynchos platyrhynchos (common mallard). Its description in RNAcentral is "lncRNA (ENSAPLG00000025720.1)". Lineage: Eukaryota; Metazoa; Chordata; Aves; Anseriformes; Anatidae. The record is from RNAcentral.
CAAAUCAGGACAAGAACAAAGCUAUUCUUGAGAAAAUUAGAUUAUAGUUUUACCUGCUUUUGAAGAUAACAUUCCUAGAAUAAGCACUCCCCUUCUCCCUUGACAUCAAAGUCUUCACUGUGCUGGCACAGUAAUUUUUGCACCCAUGUCAUGAAUCAGUUCUGUGUUUUCACACAUAUGGAUUUAUUUUAUUUUAUUUUAUUUUUUUUUGAGGAGGGAUAUUAUUUUUCUCUUUGAUCAGUAUUCUAAUCUGUGUCAUCAUGUACAGGUAAGAGCAACAUAAACAAACAACAAUACUGGAGGAAGAUGAUGAAAGUUUUGUGUUGUUGCAGCUAAACGUCUGCUUUAUGCUGAAUGAGCUUCAGUGACUUAUUGAAGAAUUGCCUUAGAAGUCUGUGGUAGAUUCAGGGAAUGAAUGCAUCUCAGAACUUUGUAGAAAACGUCUCACUGGCUGCAACAAGGACCAGCAUAUUGGUGUGGAGUAGUGGUGAACUAGGCUGACAACUGAGCUGGCCAAAAAAUAAUGCAGCAACAGCAAAACCAACUGACCUCCAAUGCUCAGUGCUUUUUCAGAAACUGGGAAUAGUG